RNAcentral lists this long non-coding RNA (491 nucleotides) under Felis catus (domestic cat). Its description in RNAcentral is "lncRNA (ENSFCAG00000053451.1)". The record is from RNAcentral. Lineage: Eukaryota; Metazoa; Chordata; Mammalia; Carnivora; Felidae.
CGAAACAACUGAGCCACCCAAGCACCCCAGGGUCAGGAACUUUUAAGUAUUAUCUCAUAUUUCCAACAUGAUCCUAUACAAAAAAAAAAUGGAUGUUAUCAUGCUCAUUUUAAAGCUAUAGUGGAAAAGGAAAAAGAGUGGGAGAAGAUUCCAGAGGACUGCAGAGAAUCUGGGACUGCACUGAGGAAGGCUUCUGGAGCUAACCCCACCCUGUCAGGCAAAUGAGUACCACUAACAAGCCAUGUGAUGAAAGUGAAUCCUAUAUUGUCACUGCUACUAUUCCAGCCAACAUAUCCAAAGAAUCUCGGGUUGCCAUAAUUAACACAGAGGAUCGCCUCGGACCCUACGUACCUAGACCUAGGAUCAUGAAAGUCAGCGAAUGCUGGCAGUGACAGCCUGAACUGUUACUGCCACUUCACAUCCUCUUUCUGAGAAACGUUGUAGUUCCCCCCACAACAAUAAAAACUGUACUUCCUUGACCUUUGAGUUCA